GAUGAACGCUGGCGGCGUGCUUAACACAUGCAAGUCGAACGAGAAAUGGAGACGGAAACCUUCGGGCGGAAGGCUUCAUUUCGAGUGGCGGCCGGGUGAGUAACGCGUGGGUAACCUGCCUCAUACAGGGGGAUAACAGUUGGAAACGACUGUUAAUACCGCAUAAGACCACAGCACCGCAUGGUGCGGGGGUAAAAACUCCGGUGGUAUGAGAUGGACCCGCGUUCGAUUAGCCAGUUGGCGGGGUAACGGCCCACCAAAGCGACGAUCGAUAGCCGAUCUGAGAGGAUGACCGGCCACAUUGGGACUGAGACACGGCCCAAACUCCUACGGGAGGCAGCAGUGGGGAAUAUUGCACAAUGGGGGAAACCCUGAUGCAGCGACGCCGCGUGAGUGAAGAAGUACUUCGGUAUGUAAAGCUCUAUCAGCAGGGAAGAAAAUGACGGUACCUGAGGAAGAAGCCCCGGCUAACUACGUG
This 478-nucleotide ribosomal RNA is filed under the name uncultured bacterium. Its description in RNAcentral is "partial 16S ribosomal RNA". It matches the Rfam family "Bacterial small subunit ribosomal RNA", at positions 28 to 507 of the family's 1533-position model. The record is from RNAcentral.